RNAcentral lists this long non-coding RNA (852 nucleotides) under Callithrix jacchus (white-tufted-ear marmoset). RNAcentral's name for it is "lncRNA (ENSCJAG00000074919.1)". The record is from RNAcentral. Lineage: Eukaryota; Metazoa; Chordata; Mammalia; Primates; Cebidae.
AUGAGCACUAAAUUUUUCUUUCAAGCUCUAAUUGUUAUAUAUGACUACUAUAAAUAAGGUGAGAAUGGUGCUCUCUUAUAUUUAAGUAACAGAAAAAUUGGUGAUAAUGUUGUUUUUCUUAUUUUUAUAUCCUAGAAUGCAGAGUCAAUUGAGGUGUCAGUCUCUGCUCCCCUCACCCAAAUAAUAUCUGAGAUACUGCCUUUGACUUUAUAGUGGCACAAAUGCCUCAGAGACACAAAAUUCUAAAUUAAAAAGACUUAGGUAUGUUUCAGAAUAACAAUUUUCUACAUAUAUUUCACUCAUGAUAAUUCUUCCAAACUGAACAUAUGGUUAGAAUUUAUGCUGAGAUAAUAAUUAAGUUUUAUACCUGUCUAGUUAUUACUCAGUUAACAUAAAUAAAGCUUUAUUUUUCUAAAGUAAAGUUUCUUGCACAUUAUUAGUGAAUCAUGGAUUUAUUUAGGUAGAAAUAUCCAAGUUUUAUGAUGCGUAGCUUUUUUUUUCUUCCCCAGAGCAAAUCCACGUUUAUUAAGAAAGUAAAGUGGUGAAGAAGGGAAAGCUGUUUCAUAGACAGAGUAGGACAUUACUGAAAGUAAGAGGAAGAAUGCAUCCACCCUAGGAAUCAACAUUAUCUUCUUCUUCUGUGGAAGUAUCUUUAUUUGUUUCAAAGGCAAUUUUAUUCAUUUCUGUCUAAUGCUAUAUAAGGACCGUGAUGAUUCAUUAUCCAAUGCCAGAGUUCUCCUGCAGUCAAAGUAUUCUAAUGUCACGCUUUCGUAGCGAUUCCCCUGUUGUGUUUGAUGGUUGAGUACUGCAACUUGGCUCCUACACUUCAGGAUCUAAUUUCUCUCAUGGUAU